Molecule: ribosomal RNA, 736 nt
Filed under: uncultured bacterium
Lineage: Bacteria
Description: partial 16S ribosomal RNA
Source: RNAcentral
CGAAGACGGCCUUCUGGGACGCCGAGCGAUAACAGUUCCUUAACGACCGAAAUUGCGCGUGCGGCGGAGAGCUCCCAGUUGGACGCAAAACGUUCAUUUUGGAUUGGCACGUUGUCGGUGUGCCCUUCAACCGUGAUACGCCCUUUCAGGCCAUGGAGUGGCUCGGCCAGGCUAUGAAGAACAUCGAUGNNGCGUUNNNNNNNNGCNGNCUCCCCUGAGGGGAACAGGAGUGUCUCNCCAAUGACGAGCGNUACUUGAUUUUUGGUGAUCGAGACAUCAANNAAUUGAUCAAGNNNNNUCUGUUUCAAGGUACGAAGCAAACUAUCAGUAUCGUNUGAAUCCGCGGNAACAUCAUUGUCGAUAUGGGCUUCCGGUAUGUUGACGAUUUCCGGGUACUGCAUCGAGGAAUGAAUAGCCUUCGUAAUUUGCUCACGCUGUGGCUCCGGCAUCUGCAUAAGGCCCACCAUGAAGGCGAACAAGGCAAGNNNUACCGUNNNGGUGUCAAGAUAGGGUAGCAACCAGGCGUCCAUAUCGGCGGACUCGACCCCGCUCACUCCGGCGUCACUCCUAUCACUCAAAUGAUGGAUGGCGUUCGUAAGUCGCUCCAGUUCCUCUACCGCGGUAGAGGCCUCACUGUUCGAUCNNNAUGCAUGAUUGCCAGUCAUGUUGNNNCCGCAUUAUUUCGUAAGGCGCCAAGUUCGUCGCGGAACUCCUUGUUCACGGACCUGCUGAACUC